UAUAGUCGAACGCUGAAGCCGACAGCUUGCUGUUGGUGGAUGAGUGGCGAACGGGUGAGUAACACGUGAGUAACCUGCCCCUGGUUUCGGGAUAAGCCUGGGAAACUGGGUCUAAUACCGGAUAUGACCAAUCCUUGCAUGAGGGUUGGUGGAAGGUUUUUCGAUCGGGGAUGGGCUCGCGGCCUAUCAGCUUGUUGGUGGGGUAAUGGCCUACCAAGGCGACGACGGGUAGCCGGCCUGAGAGGGCGACCGGCCACACUGGGACUGAGACACGGCCCAGACUCCUACGGGAGGCAGCAGUGGGGAAUAUUGCACAAUGGGGGAAACCCUGAUGCAGCGACGCAGCGUGCGGGAUGACGGCCUUCGGGUUGUAAACCGCUUUCAGCAGGGAAGAAGCGAAAGUGACGGUACCUGCAGAAGAAGUACCGGCUAACUACGUGCCAGCAGCCGCGGUAAUACGUAGGGUACGAGCGUUGUCCGGAAUUACCGG
RNAcentral lists this ribosomal RNA (490 nucleotides) under bacterium. RNAcentral describes it as "bacterial SSU rRNA". It matches the Rfam family "Bacterial small subunit ribosomal RNA", at positions 58 to 557 of the family's 1533-position model. The record is from RNAcentral.